Schizosaccharomyces pombe (fission yeast) is the source of this 222-nucleotide non-coding RNA. NCBI's taxonomy places the organism in Eukaryota, Fungi, Ascomycota, Schizosaccharomycetes, Schizosaccharomycetales, Schizosaccharomycetaceae. The record is from the annotation of a GenBank genome assembly.
UAGCUAGUUAGCUGCUUGCCUGAAUACAUGAAAAUAUGAUGAAAGUAGAGCUCAUUGUAUUAACUUUUCUAUUGCCCAAUUUCUUCGAUACUGUUAAAAGAUGUGCAAUUCGUUUAGCUAAAUUCAAGUUGACUAAACACCUUUCGUUCCAUGCUUUGCUAUUACAGAUUCCUAACACGUUGGUAUGUUUAGAAAUUUGCAAUGCAAUAUCGGGUAUUCAGU